GAGCUGAAGAGUUUGAUCAUGGCUCAGAUUGAACGCUGGCGGCAGGCCUAACACAUGCAAGUCGAGCGGAUGAAGGGAGCUUGCUCCUGGAUUCAGCGGCGGACGGGUGAGUAAUGCCUAGGAAUCUGCCUGGUAGUGGGGGAUAACGUCCGGAAACGGGCGCUAAUACCGCAUACGUCCUGAGGGAGAAAGUGGGGGAUCUUCGGACCUCACGCUAUCAGAUGAGCCUAGGUCGGAUUAGCUAGUUG
Molecule: ribosomal RNA, 248 nt
Filed under: Pseudomonas aeruginosa
Lineage: Bacteria; Pseudomonadati; Pseudomonadota; Gammaproteobacteria; Pseudomonadales; Pseudomonadaceae
Description: partial 16S ribosomal RNA
Rfam family: Bacterial small subunit ribosomal RNA
Source: RNAcentral